GAAGUGAAUCAAAAUGUUCUCUAAUUAGAUAGUGGUGUUGGUUUUUACAAAUGUAAAAUACUAAAAACCACUGAAUUGUAUUCUUUAAAAGGGUGGACAAUUCUGGUAUGUAGGUUAUAUUUGUUUUUUAAAAUACAAUUUUAAAAAUAAAAUUGUGAGGCUGCCACAAGCCAUUGAUAUUUCUUAGUUAUUUGUAUUAGAUGUAGUUGUAAGAGAGAUCACAUGUUAUAGUCUCUGGAUAAGUCCAUCUUCUUUGAAGUGAGGUAGUAGGGAGAGGUGAUGGUCAAGAUAACGAAAUACAAUAUAGUUUUCUAUUAAUUACUCUGUGCAUUACAUAUUUAAACAAAUUACCGGUCUGAACUUUUAUUAUAGCAAUUAUUAUAGACAGUCUGUGUGGACAAAGUAUGGGUUUAUUAAUCAGCCCUGCCAUUUACUACCUCGCGGCCUUGGGUAUGUGCUUUAACCUCACAAGGCCUCAGUUUCUCACCUGUAAAAGUGGGGAUGAUGAUAAUGUGCACUUUAAGGGCAGAGGAUAUGUAUAAAGAAACGUUUUCCUUGAAGAAAACAAACCUGAAAACCAGGAAAGUUACUACUCAAGAGCAGCGAUCUUAAUCAGUGUGCCACAAGAAUUUUUAAAACAUGCCAUACCUGAUUAUUUAGUCUGGGAGCCUGGCCUCUUUUCCCAUAGACUGUGAAAUAAAAGACACCAGCCAACACUACGAUCGUCAUAGGUGUGAAGGAAUCAAAAUUAUACCUACUUUUUGGUCAGAUUAGAAAAAAUAUAUGUAAGUUUUGGCGUGCUACAGAAUUUUAGUAGUUAGUUGAUAUGUGCCAGGAAAUGAAAAAGGUCAAAAAUUGCAGCUCAAGGGAAAUCUCCAUGUAGGAUGGGGACUCUCCAGACAACAACCACAAAAGCCAUUAGCCCUCUGACCUCAGCUUAGACUAAAGACCCCGUCAAGGCAGAUGGACACCUUUAAACAAGACUUUACUGACCAUGUGUCACAGGGAAAUCCACCAUGAAUCUGGACAAGAUAAGCCUUCUACUUGGGGACCACAGAACCUAUCUAUUUAACUGGGCAUCCAGGGAAAUGAGGCUACCCAGGGGAAUUGGUCCUCCUUACUUCUGGCCUCAUGCCUUUUGCUGAGGAAUAGUUACCUGCCUCUCCCAAAAUCCAGUCAGAGAGGGAAGCACAAUAGCAAACCUUAUCUAUUAUUGAUUUUUUUUUUAGGUUAAUAGCUCAUGAGGAACUUUAUUUUUCUUUUAUUAUUUAAAGUAUUACAAAUAGUGCUACAUAUGUUGCCUUUUUCCCCCAUUGACCUCCUGCCAGCCUCCCCCAACCCUUGGCAAAUGCCCUCACCUCCCUAGUGUCUGUGUCCAUUGCUUAUGCUUAUAUGCAUGCAUACAAGUCCUUUGGUUGAUCACUUACCCCCCCCCCGCCCCACCCUCCCCUACCUUCCCACUAAAGUUUGACAGUCUGUUUGAUGCUUCUUUGUCUCUGUAUCUAUUUUUGUUCAUCAGUUUGAUGUUCAGUUCAUUAUAUUCUACAAAUGAGUGAGAUUAUGUGAUAUCUUUCUCUGACUGGCUUAUUUCACUUAGCAUAAUGCUCUCCAGUUCCAUCCAUGCUGUUGCAGAUGAGUGAAGAAAAGAGAGGGGGAGAGAGAGAGGAACAUCUAUGUGAGAGUGAACCACUGAUCAGCACGUGCCCAACUGGGGAUUGAACCCACAACCUGGGAGUAAAUGAAAUGUUCUAAAUUUAGAUAGUGAUGUUGGUUUUACAAGUCUGAUGUACAAAAAACCACUGAAGUGGACACUAAAGAGAUGAAUUUUAUGUUGGCAGGAAAGAUUAUUGGUGGCUGAGCCAGAGGCCUGGAGAAGAAAAAGCACCCGGUUUGAGCAGCCAGUAAUUCCUGUCUGGCUAGAGACACAAGAAAAGAAGCAGUCCAAAUUUUAGUUAAGAAACUACAAGGGAGGUUGCUCCAUUUGGAACAAAACAGGAAGAAAACAGUUUCAUCUUUGGCUGCCACAACCAGGCUCUGUCCACUCUGGAAAUACUACUGUAAAAGCCUAAGGUGAUCCUCAUGCUUCAUUCACACAAUUACUCUGCCCUCCUUUCACACAGUUCUAACGCCACAAACCCGCUCACAGCUACCUGCCCAGCUUCAUUUCUGCUUUCCUUCAUUCAACAAAUAUUUACCAAGCGCUUACUUUUUGCCAGGUAUAGCACCAGCACUGGAUAUGGCAGCAAAUAAUUCUCAAUAUAUGUCGUAGUGUCCAGUGUUGAGUUGAAGGAUUUCUAUUGGACUGUUUGUAGCGUGGACCCUAAGAAAGAAGAUACCUACAAAAAAAAAGGCUCCCAGUGGCUACCUGGGCUCAAAUUGAAAACAAACAAAAGAACACCAGAACCUAGGAGCCAUUCCUACCCAGGGGCCUCCCUUACAAACUGCACUUCAGGGAGAAGUCUGCACUGAACUGCCUGCCUGCGCUGUAUUUCUGCCAGCUGAGCCAAUCCUCAUAAAGGAGUUCCUGGAAUCCUAUUUCCGCCAGUAGGACUGAGGCUUUCCCCAUUUAAUCAGAGCUACACACCUAUAUCCCAAUCAGCUUCUUCACUGACCAAGGUGACUCCACUCUGAGCUAUCUGGACAGUGCCUUUCGGACCAAUCAAACUGUGUGGAUUUGGAGUCUUCAUUUGCAUGAGGACAGACCAGUCAGGGAACAGGGCGGGGACCUCUGUCUAUAUAAGUCAGCUCUCCUCUCUGAGGGUGCACUUUCCCUUUUCACUAAAGAGUGGUUCCCUGC
Molecule: long non-coding RNA, 2797 nt
Organism: Myotis daubentonii (Daubenton's bat)
Lineage: Eukaryota; Metazoa; Chordata; Mammalia; Chiroptera; Vespertilionidae
Source: RefSeq, a predicted model, not a curated record